RNAcentral lists this long non-coding RNA (251 nucleotides) under Ananas comosus (pineapple). Its description in RNAcentral is "long non-coding RNA (ACOM_LNC009059)". Lineage: Eukaryota; Viridiplantae; Streptophyta; Magnoliopsida; Poales; Bromeliaceae. The record is from RNAcentral.
CUUUGGCAGAAUCUGAAAGGGUCGAACUGCAGGGGUGUUUUUGCGAUUGUGGCCUUCUAUAUUACCACCCACGCCUCCCCUUUGGUUUCCUGAGCCUAGAACUCAGAGGAAACAAGGUGAGUGAGUCUUCUUUGCCUCUCCAUGGAUUUGAUCUUUUUUUUUCUUGAUUUUUAUGUGGUUUUUGCUCUCUUUUGUCUUCUAGAGCAUUUUCCACCAUUGUUGAAGCUUGGAUCUUGGGUUUGAGGCUUGUU